RNAcentral lists this unclassified non-coding RNA (240 nucleotides) under Sarcodon sp. RNAcentral describes it as "partial contains 5.8S ribosomal RNA, internal transcribed spacer 2, and large subunit ribosomal RNA". The record is from RNAcentral. Lineage: Eukaryota; Fungi; Basidiomycota; Agaricomycetes; Thelephorales; Thelephoraceae. RNAcentral also lists the same sequence under 1 other name.
AACGCACAUUGCACCCUCUGGUAUUCCGGGGGGUAUGCCUGUUCGAGCGUCAUUACAACCCUCAAGCUCUGCUUGGUAUUGGGUGUCACCGUCCCGGUGCGCCUCAAAGUCAGUGGCGGUGCCAGACGGGCUCCGAGCGCAGUAAUUCUUCUCGCUCCGGGGCACGGCUGAGCGCCCGCCAGCAACCCACACUUAUCAAAGGUUGACCUCGGAUCAGGUAGGGAUACCCGCUGAACUUAA